RNAcentral lists this non-coding RNA (1802 nucleotides) under Pongo abelii (Sumatran orangutan). The record is from RNAcentral. Lineage: Eukaryota; Metazoa; Chordata; Mammalia; Primates; Hominidae.
CGGAAGCCGCCGGGGCCGCCUAAAGAAGAGGCUGUGCUCCGGCGCUCCGGCUCCUCAGAGAGCCUCGGCUAGAUGUGGAAACAGCAAGAGAACUAGAAUUGGAAGUAAAGCGUUGAAGAUGUGACUGAAUUGCUGCAAUCUCAUGAUCAAAUUUGAAUGGAUGAGGAGUUGCUUCUUAGGGAUAAGCUAAGAAAGUUGCUCCUUGAGGGCAGGACAGUUCUUAUGGCUUUAUCUGUUGCUUAAGCACAGAGAGAGGUCUGUGAGGUCAAAACUGUUGUCAUGAUAGCAAGAUGCUUGUCUUUUUCAUUUAUUCUCACAGUGUGCAGAGGCUACAUGAUUUGUGAUGACAUCCUCAUUGUUGUUAAUGAAUGGUGCUAUACUUGAAUUUUCUAAGGUGUCGUUAGGUAGGUUUAGGUAUGCAUACUUGUUUUUAGAAAUUAUUUUUUCCCCUUUUCCCAUUUUUAGAAAUCAACUCAUUUUUUAGCCUUCAGUAAUCUUUGCAACCUCAAUAUUGUGCAAUUGUUAGUUUAAAAUACUGUAGUUUUCUUUGUGCCUAAGUAUAAACAUAAGUACAUUUUGUUGUUUUGUUUGCAAUAGUGGUUUAAAUAUUUUCCCAAAAUAUCCACAUUUAAAAAUUCUACAACUUUAGAAUUUAAUAAAUUUAUUCUAAAAUAUUUAUAUUUUUUUCAUUUAAGAAUGGAUCAUUGGCUUAAAAAGACUGCUUCUCAUUUACUUAUUGGCUAUACCAUCUGUAUACUAAUAAAAAACAAGAUUUGAUUUGGAAGGACUGACUCAAACUAACGAAAAUAUGAAACCUGUCUUUCUGCUUUGGAGAUACUUACCUUACCAUGUUCUGCAGUAGAAUAAUUUAGUUCUUUUGUCUUUUUUUGGAGAUGAGGUCUUGCUCAGCCUAUUCACAGCUGCCAUCAUAGUGAACUACAGCCUGAAACUCCUGGGUUCAAGCGAUCCUCCUGCCUCAGCUUCCUGAGUAGCUGGAACUAUAGGCAUGCACCACCAAGCCUGGGCUUUUAAAAAAAUUUAAAAAAAAACUUUUUUUGAGACAGGAUCUUGCCAUGUUGCUCAGGCUAGCCUUCAACUCGUAGCCCUGAGUGAUCUUGCUUUGGGGCUCCCAAAAUGUUGAGUUAAUAGGUGUGAGCCACCAUACCACCCAGCCAAAAAUUUUUUUAGAGAUGGGAAUGGAAUGAUUUUGAAUAGUGCUGGUGUCACCUAUGUUGUGGCAUCAUUUUGAAACCAAUCAUUCAGAGUGCUUUUUUUGGUAAGGCAUUAUUUUUUAAUGCAGGUAUGCCACUACUGAAAAAAAAAAAACCAAAAAAAAACAGGUUUUAAAGCUAGAAAUGAAAAAGCUACUUAAGUAUCUUAAAGGAUAAGUUACUUUAUUAUACACUAGAAACAUACACAAUGCUGAAAAACUUAAGAAAUCUCACAUUGCUGAAUGUCUCUGCUGGCUGAAGUGUAAGUAAAAGAUCAUAGUAAUGCCGCUGUUGAGUCAUUAAAGAUGUGUGUGCAGACAUGGAUUCUGAGUUAAUAUCUCAUCUGUAGAAGUAUACAUUUGUCCCUUGCUUUGGGAUUGGUUUCAGGACACCACUCCCCCACCCUUGCUGGCCAUUUGCCAAAGACACCAAAACCCAAGGAUGUUGAAGUCCCUUAUAUAAAAUGGCACUGUAUUUGCAUACAACUUACAUACAUCCUCCCAUAUACUUUAAAUCAUUUCCAGAUUUCUUAUAAUACUUCAUACAAUGUGUAUGCUAUAUAAAUAGUUGUUACAUUGUGUAUUUAUGUUU